CGAAAUGUAUAUAAGAAAUACUCAAGUUAAUAAAAAAAAAAAAGAAAAAAAAAGUAUUGUGCUUUAUCAUGAGAGUCUGUAAGUCAGUCAUUUAUUACAUAAAUUUGGGAUAAAUAAUUUGAUAACAGUUUCUUCAUCAGUCAGACUGAUUUAUAUAUUUCAAUUAUGUUCUCAGAAUCAGAAGUAAAAACCAAAAUACAAAUGUGAUUCCUCCCUUCUCUACAGUAUGAAGUUUUGUGAAUAAAAGUUAGGAGAGAAAAAUACACAAUGGAAAUAUUUUAGAUUUUUUUUUUGCUAUUUUUCAAAAGCAUGUAGGAAAAUAUUCAGUUGAAUGGGAAUCUGAGUAUUGUAUAUCCAUUGUUCUUUCCAGUGAUCAGCCAUUUACUUUCAUUGGUUGCCUCUGAGAGCUAACAUCCUGAACAUAGACUCCCUCAUGCAUUUAGCUAAUGAAACCUGGAUUGGGAAAAUCCAAUAAAGCCAUUUAGUCAGGAUUUUUUAUUUUCUGACCUUCUUCACUCUCUUUUUCUCCUUAGAAGAAGGCAGCCUUUUAGAGAAGACUUUUCUACAUAAAAUCCUAAAUCCACAGUACUCAUUCUCCAACAUUACCUUUUAUGAUCUCAUACUACAGCCACCACCCCUGCCCUUGUCACUCAUAGGUCAUAUUCAUGGAAACUAAGGACUGUCCCUGUGUUCCGGAACAAUUAUAAAUCUGUAAUCUAACAUGGAAUGUCUGUUAACACAGCUUCACUUAUUCCUUCCUUCAAAAGCACACAUGAGAAAACAUCACAAAUCUGGCCUGAGGAGAUGGCUUAAGAAUCAAGGAAUCAGGACGUAGAAAUGGAAAGAUUGGGUGAGCAUCAUUGUAAUACGUGAUGUGAAAUUCCAAAAAAAAAAAUAGAUAAAAUAUAUUAUGUUGAAAAAUAAACAUAAUAUUUAUUUAGUACCCACAUAAUGUCAGAUACAGAAGUGUAUUUCUAUGAUCCAGUGUCUCUUUAGUAAGAUGAGAGACAGAAUGAGAUUUCCUGGAAGUCUAUGGACUUCCUAGCAUGUGUGCAAUGGUAAGCAAGAGACUUUGUCUCAAACAACUUUGAAUGUGAGGAGCAGUAUCCUAGGCUGUCUGCUACCUUCCUUACUCAUAUGUGGUGUGUGUAUCUCCCACAGCAAACACACAAAACACACAUACAUAAAGUACAGAAUUCUAUUCAUUACUUCUCUCUUACUGUGAUAAAAUAUUAUAACCAAAGCAACUUACAGAAGAAAUAUUUUUCUUUGGUUGAUGGCUGCAAAAAUAUAUAGAGUCCAUAAUGACAGGAAUGUAUACUAGUAGUUUGCUGAAACAGUAUGCUGCCCACACUUUUAUCUAUACACAGGAAGCUGAGGUCAAAAAACAGGAAAUAGUGGUGGCUAUAAUCCUUCAAAACAAUCCCUGUGACAUACUUCCUCCAACAAGACUGUGCCUUGUAAACAUUUCAUAACCUCCACAAGCACCACCAGAAAUCAGGGACAAAGUGUUUCAAUACACGAUCUUAUGGGAAAUAUUUCUUAUUCAGAUCUCUCUCUCUCUCUCUCUCUCUCUCUCUCUCUCUCUCUCUCUCUCUCUCUCUCUCUCUCUCUCUCUCUCUCUCGCUUACACACAGUGAUUUUCUUCCCCAUCCUCUCCCUUGGUUUCUUCUACCACUGACCUCUGAUAGCAGCCCUGCUAUUGGCCCUGUCUGAUGGGAUGUACUUGUUCCUUUUGCCCCUGCAGUAAUCUGUCUUGCCAGUGACAUCUUUCUCAAUGCUCUACUACUUACAUUUUCAUCUUAAAACAAGCAGCAUAAUGCAGUCAUCUAUUGGCUCAGGCAUCUGGGCUGCGCUGUGUCAUUAGGCCAAUUGCUGUACCCUGGUGCUUUGUUUUAGCUACCUUACCGAAAAUGAAAACAUCACCCUAAUCAUUAUAAUUUUAUUAUGAGAAUGAAGCAUAAAUGGUCAAUAUUUGGUUUCUUAUAGGACUACAAUAUUAUUAAAUUUGCUUUUGGAAAAUAAACACAUGAAUUCUCAUGGAAGUUAAAAUCAGUUCAAAAGAAAAAAGAAUAUUGGAUGAUCAGACAAGUAGGGGAAAACUGAUAUAUGCACAAAUGCUUGCUAGUAAGAGUUAGAAGAGAUAAAAGAUGUCUUUGUUGUUUGUGGUUUUUAUUCAUUUUGUUUUUAAGUAAUCUUAUGCUAUCUGUGCUAAGAUGUAUCUUACUUAUUUUCUGUUAUCAAAAAGUACAGAGGAAUGCUCUCCUGUCAUAUAUGAGUUUGUACACGACUCUCCUUGCUUUUAAGACAAAUAGGUAAACAUGGCCAUUUCCAUACUUUGAGCACAUAAAUACUUAACUUAUGCAGAUGUAUGCACCCUGCUUUGGAUGUUAAUUCUUCUAAAAUUGUAAUUUUGGUUUAAGGAAGAGGUUUAUAAUUUGCAGCCAGGCUCUGCAUGAAAAUACGAUCCUUGUGCCUCAGCCUGUUGAGUGCAAAGAUUACAGAUAUGAAACAUUACACUUUUAUGUGCAAUUUGAAGGCUUGUGACAUAGUAGGUAAGGUGGAGAUAAAAGUCUUCCAAAGCAGUGGCACCUGACUAACCAACUGAAUGGUGAGUGGAAGGUCUGAUGACUUGAAGUAGGGUGUCCCACAUUCUGUGUGCAUGGAAGACUGAAGCGUAGGAGAGACUUAUUGUCCCUUCUUUAUCAUCCAGUCAUAUGUAUACACUUUAAGACAGAAUGCAAUAUUUCUUGUAUAUAUUUCAAUACAGAGAAGAAAAUGCAUAGCUGUAAAUUUGAAAUCUACAUCAUAAUCCUUGCUGCUAAGGCUCAGGGCUGCUUAUACAUGAGGGUAGAUCAAAGAUUGCUAGAGACAGAGGAGAAUUGCAAAGAAAUGCUAUUUUCUAAACAUAAAGGCAGAUGCACAUAUACAUACAGAGACAUUGAAAAAACACCAAGAAGAAAAUUAUAUCAGACAAGGAUAUCCCUGUGGCUUUCUAAAGGAAAUGAGACUUGAAAGAGCCUUAGAUAAUUCAGUGACAUUGUUCACCCUGUAAUUUCUGAUGUACCUCCCACCUAAGCUAAGGAGAUGUGCUACAAACACAGGAUAUGAAUUCAUCAGAAUGUUUCUUUUAGAGCUUCAUAUAAUUUCAUAGUCAGGUUCUCAGAGCUGAGUGAGUAUUGUUUUUUCAGAGAUGAUUCGCUGAGGGCCAGAGAGGGCAAGAGACUUGCUAGGGGUAAUAUAGCUAAUUAGCUCUUUCUUAGAUACAGGUUCUUGCUUCUUAAUGCCACAGUAUCAGGCAGGAGCCGAAGGCCAUUGCAAAUGAAAGACUUAAAUUCUUUCAAGUCUUCAUGUCAUCAAAUAUGCUGGGGAAUAGAUUCACUUCUCUGUACCCAUAUGUUCUCCAAAGUUUGGAUGCACUUGACCCCACAAGCCUAACUCAUGGGGAACAGGAAAGGAUCAGUGCCAAAUAGCCAGCUCAUUUGUGGGGUUACUCAGCAGAGAACUCAGAGCCUAAAAUCAAGAUUUGAAGAGUUUUUCAAAAUUCCAGAAACUUAGACAACAAAUAUUAUGUCUUGACAUGUUAGAUUCUUUUGCCAUUCUUUCCUUACUAUGUGUAAGAACAGCAAAUGCAGAACCCGGAAAAAGGUUGGUGUUUAUCCUUUCACAAAGAAGCUGAAAAUACAAUAUCAGUUUUGGUAUCUGUGCCUUCAUAUGGGCUAAGAAAAGUGACUACAUAAAAGUAAGUGGUGUACAAUUGUCCUUUUGUGAAUGUAUGUAUGUGUUUGUGUGUAUGUGUGUGUGUGUGUGUGUGUGUGUGUGUUUUAGUGUGUUCACGUGCACAUGUAUGAAUAUGCAUGCAUAUGUAUGUGAACAUAUGUGGUGGUCAGACAUGAAUUCAAAUCCUGUUCCUCAGGAAUAAACUUCUGAGACAAGAUCUGACUCUGGGUCUGGACUUCAAUUCAUAUUCUUGAGCUUGACAGGGAGCCAGAUUUGAAUCUAUCCACUUGCCCAGUACUGGUUAAAAUCUCUCCACAUUGGACCUUUUCACAUGGGCUCUGUGGGAUGGAAAACAGGUUGAGGCAAUUUUUAGGCUGAAUCAGUCAGAUAAAAGCAACCAUGCCUUUAUUAAGUAGCACUUGUAUUGACCUAUCAUUUGGAAUACAAUGGUGAAUAGACACCGGACUUCCAUGUCACUCGACCUUUUGAGAAAGAUAACGCUUAUUCAUCAUUCAUGAGUACUGUCUCUUAAGUUUGGUAGGAAGACAAAUAAAACAAAGGCUUACCAUACUGUAAGGCUUAUCAGCUUGGUCAAUCCUAACUAGCUUUAUUGCCAUGGUCCUUUAAGUUUUACUUGGCUUGCUGUGCUCUAGAAGGCUGAUAUUCUCUCUCCUCUUUCUUGCAUUGCUCUGCAUUUAUUUCAAUUACAACUCUAACCUAUGUAAUUGAUGUAUCUGAGAAUGUAUCAAAACAAACACGGGCAUACAAAUAAGUAUAGUUUAUCUUUGCAAUAGAAAUAUAAGAAUACAGAACAUAAUAAUUAUCCAAAUACCUCUGAACUGUUGAAAAUUUAACACGUAUAAAGUAGCUGUAUACUUUUUGAUCUUGGGGAUUUUUCUAUGUAUCUGUUUGCAUGCAAGACAGUCCUCAACAUAAAACAGAGUAGACACUCAGAAAGUUGGAUGGAUAAAUGUAAAUUAGAAGGUUAAUAUAGAUGGUAGUUUUUAUUUGUGCUUAAUAAUAAAGAAACCUGGUAUCAGUAAUUAACAAUAGAGGAAAUUUUUACAUUACAGAGUUUUUGGUGUGCAUCAGAAGCUUCUGGGGUUUGGGUAGGGCUGGAAUAGCAGCAUCAGAUAGGAGGUAGCUCACACAUAUUAAGGGAUGCUAUGGACUUUGGAACUAGUCCAGAUAGUAAAGAGCUUGCUGUGAAAGCACAAAGAUGUCAAGUUAGCCCAGAACCCAUCUUAAAAAUCUGGUGUGUUAUGCAACAUAUAGUAUCAUCUCUGGGAAAGUAGGAAGAGGUGGAUCAAUUGAGCCUACUGGCCAGGCAGGCUACUACAGUUUAUAAGUUCUGGGCAUUCAAAAGAUCUCAAUAUCAAAAAUAAGAUGAAUGAUACCUGAAGUUGACUUCUGAAUUCCACAUACAUUUGAAUAUAUCUACAUCAACAUAAACACACACACACACACACACACACACACACACACACGAGAGAGAGAGAGAGAGACAGAGAGAGAGAGAGACAGAGAGAGAGAGACAGAGAGAGAGAAAAAUAUAUACACACAAAUCUAAUAAGGCAAUUAGUGAGAAUGAAAAUACGUGUUUAAAGAAUUAUUCAUUAUCACUAUUUCCGUGCAACCAUACAAAUCUUAUGACUCAUAAACUUAGCAGAUCUCUAAGUUUUAGAUCAGUGAUUUUUUUGUAUGUUCCUGGAAAGAAACACCAAGUAAACACAGUAAAAUGGUAAUUCUAAUCAUUGAACUUGGAUAUAUAUUUUAAAAAGACAUGUGAGACACCUCUAAGAACCUGCAGAGGGCACAAGUGUUUACAUUCUGGUGUCUAAAUUGGUCUCUGAAUCAGUGUGUACAUAUGUGCUUUAUAUGAAGAAAUAACUGCAUAUGUGCUCAAGGCUAUGUACAGGCCAGAAAACAAGCACACAUAUUUCCCACUCACUCUUCAUCUUAGUUAGUUUGCUCCUGAUGUGGUACACAUAGGUAGCUGACCAGUGAGCUUCAGGGGCACAGCUGUUUAGGAUUUUACAGCACUGAAAUUAAAAGUGAAUGCCAUUGUUCCUGCUUUUUUAUGUGGAUUCUGGCAAUUAAACUCAGUUUUUUUAUAUGGCAAGUUAUGUAUGUUACUGAGUGUUCUUUCCCAGUCCUUUUCUUAGUUAAUUCUCAGUAGAAACACAGCUUUGAUAUUAACAGAACUUAAAAGCUCGACAAAAUUUUAGCAAUGCAUAGAAAUAGCAGUAAAAUUCAAUUAGUCAUCACCGCAAACCUGAUAGAUCUGUGAGUCCAAAUUCAGUUAUAGUGAAAUGCAUUCCAAGCAUGUAUUACCUCCUUCAAAAUUAGUGAAAUGUAUCAAAUUAAAAAUAUUUAUGUCUUUGCUAGCCAGUACUUUAGACAUUAGUUAUUUCUAGUUAUGACAUUUCUAGGCUAUGAGACAAAAUUUCUUCUGGAAAGGAUAGUACCUGCCUUGAGAGCUGACAGGUAGCUAUUUAAUUGACCACUGCAAGAGACGACAUUAUCUUGCUCUAAGGUUCAAUGGCUAUCUGUGAAUAUCAACCUUGUGAGAUCUAGACAAAAAGAUUGCUAUUAAUGUAGAAAGCACUUAGUAUUAUACCUAAAUACACUGGAUACCAUGAAUGUUAAUAUAACUUAUGCAUGUCUUUUAUUGACCAUUAUUUAUUCUUUUAAAUAAUAAUUUCAUGAUAAGUGCUUGUAUUUUGGUAUAUGAUAAGUGCUGGCAAUACAUCAUUUUUUAAAAUGGAAAAACCUAAUUCUCACUAAUAGGAAAAAAUAAAAUUGCUCAGUUAAAAAUGUAAAAUGGGCAGUAGUGUUGCAUGCAUUUAAUCAUAGAAAUCAGGCAAAAGAGGCAGGCUAAACUCUUUAAGUUUGAGGCCACCUUCUGGUCUACAGAGCUAGUUCCAGGACAGCCAGUGGUACACACACACACACACACACACACACACACACACACACUACACACACACACACACACACACACACACACACACACACAAAACCCUAUUUUGUGGGAGAAUGAAAUGGCUCUGGAUUAUAACUUAUUCAGUAAAGUAUCUCUAUUAUAAGCAUAAAACUUUGCGUUUGGCUCCAAAAUUAAUGUAGAAAAGAAAGAAAGAAAGAAGGAAAGAAAGAAAGAGAGAGAGAGAGAGAGAGAGAGGAAGGAAGAGAGAGAGAGAGAGAGAGAGAGAGAGAGAGAGAGAGAGAGAGAGAGAGAGAAGUGCUAAGGAGGCAAAGGCAGAUGGUUCCUUGGGUCCACUCCCUAAUCUACCUUCCCUUGUUAGAAUGCCACAGGUCAGUGUGUAUAUACAACUGAAUACCUACAUGGGAACCUACACAUGAGUAUACAGACAGCACACACAAAUAUGUUGUCAUACUUCUAGAGCACUGUCCCCGCCAGCGGGGACCCAGUUAUUCAGGGUCCCGAAGAGGCUUUCUACCUGUGGGCCAAAAUGGGGGUGAAGAGAAGAAGGAGACCAAGCAAAAGUUCUGUUGUCAAGGUCUCGUUUAUUGGGAUGAACAUUGCAGCUUUUAAGGCUUUCAGGUAGGGGGAGUGACCUUUGUGAAAUAUGAAGGAGGGGGAGAUGAGGGUAUAGGCAGUGAUAGCUGGAGGCAAAGAAGUCAGGCGAUGAGGUCAGGUGGUGGAGACACUGGGUGUUGACUGAGGAGAUAACUGGUAUCUGCUCGAGCUGAGGCAUCCCUUGAAUGUUAUACUCCUGUGCCGUAAAUUCAUGGGAGAGGCUUUAUCCAACAAUCUUAAGAUUUAUGGCAGUCAUCUUCAGGGUGAGUCUCUGUGGCCAAACAGCCCAGAGUCACUUUGAACCAUGCAGUCAAAAAGCGGCUAGGCCCAAAUCCAAUAUGGCUCCAUGAAUCUCCCCCAUUUUUCUUUAAAAAAAAAAACCAUUAGGUGGAAGUAGUGGUCUGAGAGAGAUCAGACAUGCCUCACAGAGUGCCCAGCUCGGCCAUGGCAAGCCACUCUUGCAGUUAGGACCGCACCCCAAUGGCUAGGAAUGAACUUGUGCUGUAACACACCGUUCUGGGCUAUACGUGUGUGUUAUUGGGGGAGAAACUGGGCAGAGGAGCAUUUGACCGGCCUGCACGUUUAAACGGGGUGUAGCCACCUCUGUCUUAGGAUCGACCUCUCAAACCCCAGCCUUAUCUGUCAUAGGAUCACCUUGUCGCCCCCAAGGUUCCUGUCUUAGAUUGGUCAAGGGUCAGAGGAAGUUGCCUGUCCCUGAGGAUAGCUACAUCAGGUCAUCUUCUCAUUCCUCUCACUUGAGCCCAGGGGCGAAAGAGCAAGGGCCAGAUGGCAUUAAUAUAAGAGAUUGUGGAAAUUGAGCCUCUCCCGAUAAGUUGUAGGCACCUCAUCUUGUUCAUUGUCUCUCUGGUUCUACUCAGCUGUUCCGGUCUCCAAGUGAUGAUAAUGUACUGAAACAGAAUUUCUAGGCAAAGCAGAAUCUAUUUGUGAUUUAAUAAAGUGUGUAAGUCGUUGGAAGGCCCAAGGACCAAAGGAAAUCAACAAAAGUAGGCCCACAAGGGGUCCCAAAAUUGAGGGCAACAAGUUUAGGGAGCGAUCUCUGUGGGAUCCGGGACAGACAUAAAAGUCAGUUUCCCUAAUGUUGGUGCGUCGAUGGACAGUGUCACAACCGACAUAUCUUUCAUUAAAACUAGACCCAUGAGGGGCUUCAAUUAGGGGGGUGUUCCAAGGCGAAGUGGACUGUUCAAGGUGCCCUUGUAAUAAUUGUUCCUGCACCAACUGUAGGGCCGCUUGAACCUUUUCUUGAGGCAUGGACCACUGAUCGAUCCAGACUGGAUCAUUUGACUUCUAAGAUAUUUUAUCAGCCUGGAGUGCAGGAGGAACAGCGGUCUCUAUGAAAAAAGGUCAGGAGCUUUGAACUUUGGAGUGUAUCCUGUGUUUGACCUAUCCCUUUUAAAUGUGUGGCAGUAGCCUUAAGGGGCCAGGUUGAGGGCCAGUGUCUAGAGGAGAGCACUGUUGUAUCGGCCCCUGUAUCUAAAAGGCCCUGAAAUUGUUUGCCAUCAAGCCAAAGAGACAUCAUGGGUCUUUCAUCAGUUAAUUUUUGCACCCAAUAAACAUCUGAAGAGCCAGGGGAGGAAGAACCACGCCCCUUUACUUUAUGAGGGAACUGCCCCAUGAAGGGAAGCGGUAAGGCCUGUGCAAUGCGUUGUCCGGCUCUAAGCGUUAAGGGGCCCUGCGUGGCAGUGGCUAGAAAUUUUAUUUCUCCAGAAUAAUCAGCAUCUAUUACAGAGGGAAGGAUGACAAGUCCUUGAAGAGCACUCGAGGCUCGCCCAAUUAUUAAGAAAAACAUGCCAGGCGGCAGGGGCCCAAACUUUCCAGAUUCUAUGAUAACAGUCCCUUCCUCAGGGGUUAUAAUCCUGGUGGUGGAGGAACACAGGUCCACUCCUGCACUUCCUGCUGUUGCCCGGGAUAAGUUGGCGUUGCAGGAGCUUGAUGCUGCACUUGGGGGCGGGUGGUCACCCGUGGAUAGGGGCCCCAUUGUGGGGCCCCCCGCUCGUUUCCCUGGACCACAGGGAGGGUUUGUCCACUAAUGUCAGUCUUAGACUGACAUUCCCUGGCCCAGUGACGGCCUUUCCUGCAGCGGGGACAAACCCUCGGGGCAGUGGGCCAUCCAGCAGGGCUGGGGGACUGGCUAGGUUUUGGGAUGUUGCAUUCUCUAGCAAAAUGACUGGGUUGUCCACAUUUGAAACAUGUUCUGCCUCUAGGGUGACCAGAAUCUCCAGCUCUUUGGAACACAGCCCCAAUUGCCAGGCUGAUAGAUUUAGAUACUUGGUGAGAAAAAGAGUCGACAUCCUUGCAAAGUUUAAUCAUGCCUGGGAUAUCAAGGUCUUUGGUCUUGCCUCGAAGUGCGACUCUACACGCCGAGUUAGCAUUUUCGAGAGCAAGCUGUCUAACGAGAAGCCCUUCACUUUCAUUUUGACCUAGGAUUCUUUCAGCUGCUUCUUGUAGUCUCCCUACAAAUUGAGCAUAGGGCUCUUGUGCCCCCUGGAUUAUUUUAGUUAAGGGGGUGGUGAGCGCCCCUGUAGCGGGGACUGCUCUCCAAGCGGACAAAGCCGCCUGCGCCGUUUGUGCGAGUACACCGGGAGACAGCCCCAGCUGUUUUUCCUCAGAGGCAAAUGAGCCCCUCCCACAUAGCUUAUCUGCCGUCCAGGAAGCAGAUUUACUUAAGGGAUUGUUUCUGUUUCUAGCAGCAAGGCUCUCCGCUUUAUCAAUAAAUUCAUAUUUCCAAGUCAAAUAUUGUCCUCUAGUGAGGACAGAUUGUACUACCUUGGUCCAUUCACUAGGGGUCAAAUACCCAGACCCCGAAAGUCCUUCUAGGAUAGCCAAGGUAAAGGGGGCAUUCAUACCAUAAUUUUUUAACAGCUGAAUGUAAUUCCUUUAUGUGUUUGAGUUUAAGUUUCUUGUAUACGGGACACGAGGUCCCACCCUCAUCCUGAUUAGGGCUUUCCUCUUCCGAAUCUGAGGGUCCCUCCUCAUAGUCAUUUUCUUCUUCACUUUCUUGUUCCUCAUUACGGUUAUGAUUAGUACUGUCUGGCUCGCGCUCGUCUCUGGCCGACCUAUUUAGUGUUCUAAUACUGUUUAACUCAGACUCAUCCCAGGCCUGUCUGGCGCGUGCCCUAGUCAUAACUGGGAAAGUUAGUUUUGGUUGGGGUUUUCUACUGGCCUUAGCUGGCCCUUUUUGGGCAUACUGUCCCUUAGUCAUGGUCUCUUGUAAAUCCUGGAUUUCUAGUGUAAGAUCCCCCAAUUCCUGCUGUAGGUGUAAGAUCUGUUUAAGCCCAGUAAUUUGUGCUUGAAGUGCAGUCUUAGUCUGAGUCAGUUCCUCCACUACUGCGACCGGUAGAGGUGUAGGUGGGGCUGACGAUAUAGGGGGUAGAUAAGGUGGGAGGCAGACAGGCCCAGACCUCCGAGUGAAGAAGAUCUGAGUCUCCUGUGGCUCGGGACCAUAUCUCUCUUUCUCAUACCUGGCAGCUUCCUCCUCCAAUUCGGCCUCGGAGGCGGGAUCUAGACCUGACUCAGAGCAUUUUUUUUUCCCAGAAAAUUCUUUAAGAGAAGGAUAAAUGGUCUUUGAAUUUUUGGACAUCUUGGGGUCUUCUAGAGAGCAUAAGGCUUUGGAUGAGGGAUUUCCCUCACCCCCAGGCAUAUCAAUAACAAUGGAAGGGCAGGGAGAAUGCGGCUCCCCGUUUUCUUUUUCCUUGUUAGGUGAAGCCGGCCGGGAGGCUUGUAAGAAGUCCUCUGCGACAGCUAGGAGGCGGGCACUCUCGCCUCCUUCCUCAGCAUCUAUUAUAAUGUCUCUAAUGAUACCCCAGUAACUGAAAAAAGCCGUGGACACUGGGUCGCCGGCUUUCAAAAGCCUAUUAAUCUCCUGACCAACCUUAUUCCAAGUAUGGGGGUGAAUAUUGGGGCCACUUAAAAUUAACCAAGGACAUUUUUCAUCUAUGAAACAAAAAAACUUGAUUAAAUCCUUUUUCUUAACUCUUAUUCCUCUCUCCCUGAGUAAACGCUUGAUUUCUCUUAUGAAACAAGCCUCCUUAGACAAUACCUUCCCCAUGGCAAUUAGACGACAAUUAUUCGACCGGUCCUUACCUCCCUCUCCAGCGACGCACGAGCUAUACGGCCUGAAGAGUCCUCGAUUCCCGCUGCAGCUCUCUUAUCUCCGUCGUCCUGUAGUCGGCCUUGCUUCGGGGUCCCUGUUCGGGCGCCACUUGUCCCCGCCAGCGGGGAGCCAGUUAUUCAGGGUCCCAAAGAGGCUUUCUACUUGUGGGCCAAAAUGGGGGUGAAGAGAAGAAGGAGACCAAGCAAAAAUUCUGUUGUCAAGGUCUCAUUUAUUGGGAUGAACAUUGCAGCUUUUAAGGCUUUCAGGUAGGGGGAGUGACCUUUGUGAAAUAUGAAGGAGGGGGAGAUGAGGGUAUAGGCAGUGAUAGCUGGAGGCAAAGAAGUCAGGCGAUGAGGUCAGGUGGUGGAGACACUGGGUGUUGACUGAGGAGAUAACUGGUAUCUGCUCGAGCAGAGGCAUCCCUUGAAUGUUAUACUCCUGUGCCGUAAAUUCAUGGGAGAGGCUUUAUCCAACAAUCUUUUUUUUUUUUUUUAUUAACUUGAGUAU
Molecule: non-coding RNA, 11879 nt
Organism: Rattus norvegicus (Norway rat)
Lineage: Eukaryota; Metazoa; Chordata; Mammalia; Rodentia; Muridae
Source: RefSeq, a predicted model, not a curated record